AGAGUUUGAUCCUGGCUCAUAACUAACGCUUUCGGCGUGCCUAACACGUGCAGGUCGAAGGAGAAAUCCCGGGCAACUGGGAGAGUAAAGUGGCGCACGGGUGAGUAACGCGUGGGUAAUCUACCCUUAAGUUGGGAAUAACACCUCGAAAGGGGUGCUAAUUCCGAAUAACGUCCCUGGGACCCAGGUCCCGAGGAUCAAAGAUGGCUGAGGCUUGCAAGCUAUCGCUUAAGGAUGAGCCCGCGUACCAUUAUCUAGUUGGUGGGGUAAUGGCCCACCAAGGCUAUGAUGGUUAGCUGGUCUGAGAGGAUGGCCAGCCACACUGGAACUGAGACACGGUCCAGACUCCUACGGGAGGCAGCAGUGAGGAAUCUUGCGCAAUGGGGGCAACCCUGACGCAGCAACGCCGCGUGAGUGAUGAAGGCCUUCGGGUCGUAAAGCUCUGUCAGAUGGGAAGAAAGUUUCGGGCGUGAAUAAUACCCGGAAUCGACGGUACCGUCAAAGGAAGCACCGGCUAACUCCGUGCCAGCAGCCGCGGUAAUACGGAGGGUGCAAGCGUUGUUCGGAAUCAUUGGGCGUAAAGAGCGUGUAGGCGGCCGGGUAAGUCAGAUGUGAAAUCCCUUGGCUUAACCAAGGAAGUGCAUUUGAAACUGCUCGGCUUGAGUACGGGAGGGGGAAGUGGAAUUCCCGGUGUAGAGGUGAAAUUCGUAGAUAUCGGGAGGAACACCGGUGGCGAAUGCGGCUUCCUGGACCGAUACUGACGCUGAGACGCGAAAGCGUGGGGGAGCAAACAGGAUUUAGAUACCCUUGGUAGUCCACGCCGUACACUUUUGGGCACUUGGUGUUGCGGGUAUUGACCCCUGCAGUGCCGAAGCUAACGCAUUAAGUUGCCCCGCCUGGGGAGUACGGCCGCAGGUUAAAACUCAAGAAUUUGACGGGGGCCCGCACAGCGUUGAGCAUUGUUGUUCAAUCGACGCAACGCGAGAGCUUACUGGGUUUUGACAUCCCGAG
RNAcentral lists this ribosomal RNA (1011 nucleotides) under uncultured Syntrophus sp. RNAcentral's name for it is "bacterial SSU rRNA". It matches the Rfam family "Bacterial small subunit ribosomal RNA", at positions 8 to 993 of the family's 1533-position model. The record is from RNAcentral. Lineage: Bacteria; Pseudomonadati; Thermodesulfobacteriota; Syntrophia; Syntrophales; Syntrophaceae.